AAAUUUCCGAUGGUAAUAUGAAAGGAUAAGCACAAUCACGAAACGGAAAGUUAAACUUAAAAGUUUGUAGAUAGCAUAGGCUUGAUAUCGAUAGAGGAAUGUCUAUUAUUGAUGAGGGAACAGCUUUUAACGAUCCUCGAUACUGCUUUAAGCAAGGAUAAAAACACAAAGAUAGGUAUCUCAAAUGAAUUAGAGAAAGUACUCCACUGGGAAAAAUUGGGUAUAUAUUCAAACCAAGAUCUAGUACUCUUACUAGCUUGAAAGACAAUUCCAGUGUGAAGCAUUUCAAUCCACCCAACAUGAUAAUAGAAUGAGCCUCACUGUUACGACACCAAGCCAAUUCUUCCUUCUUAUAGAUACUGAUCCGACUUCGACUCUUAAAGGAACACUGCAUGGAUUGUGCACAUGAAUUUUGAUCACUCUUUCCUCUGAUAACAUUCACAAAAUUCAUGUUUCGAGCUUCCCUCAAACAGAGUUCACGGAUCACAUCAUGCAUUCCACAUCUCUCUAUUUCCCCAUCAAAACUCAAAUUGUGGAUAGAAAUUAGACUUCUAUCUACAAGUUCGUUUAUACAUGUUUCUGCCACCUCUUCUAUGCUUUUUCCUUCUUCUUCAUUCAAAAACCCCUCUACGGCCCAUAACUCAACAAGUGCAUUUACAUAAAUCCGUUCAUCCUCUGCGAAAAUUGCAAAAUACAGAAAACACGGUUUUAGGUGAGAAGGCAAGUGAUGGUAACUCAAAGCCAACACUCUCAUGCAUUUUGCUUCAAGAUCUCUGCUUACCACCGAACUUACAUUCUCCGCAACAUUUUGCCACUCAUCCAAUGUUUUACUGAUUUUGGAGAGAAGUCCAGCAAUCAAAGUAAUUUCUAGAGGUAACCCUCCACAUUUUAAUGCAAUUUGUUUCCCAAUAUUUUCAAAUUCAGGAGAAUAAGAACCUUCUUUUUCAAAGAUCUUUUUGUGUAGUAAAUUCCAACUUUCGUCAAAAUUCAUGAGGCGCAUNNNNNNNNNNNNNNNNNNNNNNNNNNNNNNNNNNNNNNNNNNNNNNNNNNNNNNNNNNNNNNNNNNNNNNNNNNNNNNNNNNNNNNNNNNNNNNNNNNNNNNNNNNNNNNNNNNNNNNNNNNNNNNNNNNNNNNNNNNNNNNNNNNNNNNNNNNNNNNNNNNNNNNNNNNNNNNNNNNNNNNNNNNNNNNNNNNNNNNNNNNNNNNNNNNNNNNNNNNNNNNNNNNNNNNNNNNNNNNNNNNNNNNNNNNNNNNNNNNNNNNNNNNNNNNNNNNNNNNNNNNNNNNNNNNNNNNNNNNNNNNNNNNNNNNNNNNNNNNNNNNNNNNCAUGUUCAGGUAAACUGACAAGUGAGCUAGUUUGUGGUUUUAGAUCUUUCAUGCUGUCCGAUGCUGCCAUCCACUGUUUCACGGUGGAAUCAAUGUAUUCUAGUGCUUGUUCCAAGACGAAAAAAAUCUCCCACAUAGCCCUGCUUCUUUCCUCCAAAUUCUGUGCUAAAAAAACAUUUCUUGAUUCCGAGUCAACCAUAUCUUCUGUUGUGUAUGCUACCUCUGCGAUUUCAACUUCCAAGAUUGUUAACCCCUCAUGAUCGCCCAUUAUAUUGCAGGAUUUCUCCAGAAUAGCUCUCAAAGAUUUGAGCUUUUCAUAAAACGGUUGCAAAUCACAUCCAGUAAGUUCCAUUGAUUGAUGUAUGGUUCUCAUAAGGGAAGUAACAGCAGCAUAAGCCAUAUAUCCAAAAAAUAGAAAUAUCUCUCAGUAUGAAAAUGGACAAAUUGCCACAAGUUAUGUAAUUUUUCAGUUUUUAAGAAAACAGAAAAUGCAAAGUUCUUUCUUUUACUAGCUAUUUCCAUCACAUUUCCAGCUAGGUCCACCAACCUUAUCAUCAUGUAGACAAAAGCAGAGACCAAAGUUAAAAAAAAGUAGAAAAAUUUGUGAUCAUUCAUUAUUAGACCGUACACAUAUCUAUUCAUGAAUAUAAGUAUGCUUCUUACAUACAAGAGAUUGAUGAUUUUAAUUACAUUGAAAGCAACUUAGUAGAAUUUUCCAAAUCAAAGAGAGAAAUAUUAAGAUCCAAGUAGGAAUUUCUCUAUUCCUAGUUCGAUUCAAUUAACCAAGCAUAAAUAUCUCUUAAUAUACAUGAGAAGUUUAGACUCUAAAAGUCAAAUCAACAAAAUAUUUAUGGGCUAACACAUGAAAAACUAUUGAGAAAAUCGCCUAAUUUCUGUAAAUUGGCCCUUAAAUCUCCAAAAUGAACUCUAAAAAUUGUCAGACUGUACGUAUUGCUCCCCAACUCCCUACUGAGGGUUCUGUAAAGAUUUCGAUUAGAAUUCGUCCGUAAGUCAUAUCACCAAUAUAUUAAUGACUAACACACACGAAAAACUGAGAAAAUUGUCUAAUUUCUUGAAAUUGGCCCCUAAAUGCCUAAAAUGGACUCUAAAAGUUGUGAGACUGUACGUACUGCUCCCCCGACUCCCUACAGAGGGUUUCGUAAAUGUGUAGCAAAGAAAUCGUCUGGAAGUCAUAUCACUAUAAUAUUAAUGGGCUAACACACACAAACCACUGAGAAAGUCGCGUAUUCCUGUAAAUUGGCCCCUAAAUGCCCAAAAUGAACUCUAAAAUUGUGAGACUAUGUACUGCUCCACUAACUCCCUAUGGAGGGUUCCGUAAAGAUUUCACAAAGAAAUUAUUCGGAAGACAUAUCACCAAAAUAUUUAUGGGCUAAUACAUUUUUAUUUGUCCAUUUGAUUUGACAUAUCUUUCAAGUACUUUGAUCUGGUUAUACUUUUUUUUUAUUGCUAAAAAUAAAUAUCCACUUUUACUUGUUCAUUCUACAAAACAAAGACAAUAUUUUAUUGCUUGAUUCAGAUAUAAAAUUUGAGUAGGCUAAUUUACAAACCAUCUGUAGUCAUCCUGCCCCUAUGCUAUAACAUUUGAAAGAAAGAGGUCAUCAUCAUCAUAUUCAUCAUCGUUGUCAUCUUCAUCAUCAUCUUCAUCAUCGUUGUCAUCUUCAUCAUCAUCUUCAUCUUCUUCAUCAUUAUCAUCAUCAUCAUCAUGAUCGUCAUCGUCACUUGUUUCCUCACUGUUGAAAAAGCCAGCAACAAAAGAUGAAAAAUGAAAUGUUAUGCAAGUAUAACAAGUUACACAAUUACUAUAUUGGAAGGAUUUAAAUCAUAUACAAUGACAACGUAUGAACUUUUACACUAUAGGUGCCAUUUAACUGCUUAUUAAAGCAAUUUAUAAUUAUUUUAUUACUAGUUCUGGACACGUGCUUUGCAUGUGUAUAUUACACGUUUAGUCACGAUUGUAAGAGGGUGUACACCAGGAUCAUUCGAAGAGCAAAGUCGUGUGAGCCUUACAGAUAUUCUUGACGUACUCCUAUUAAAAUCUGUAUCAUAUUCGUAACUUUUUGAAUGAGGUUCACCUUUUUCCUCAUUGUACUUUGUACAUGGAUGUUGUCCAUCACAAUAUCCCCUUUUUCAAAUUUCAUAGCUGAACUACUAGGUGUACGAGUUCCUACCAGAACUACUACCAACUAUUUAUCAAAACACACAUCAACUAUAUAUGAGUUGUUCCCUUUUACUAGUGGUGACAAAUAGGUGGAUUUGGACGGGACUGAAAAUGGAUUGAGCAACAUGGUCGUAACUCACUUAAUCUCUUAAAGCCAGAAAACUUUAAAGAGUUAAUUGAAAUAAACUUAAUGACUAUCCUACUUGAAGUAUCACCGUCGUUCAGGUAAGAAAAAGGAAGUAUAUCAAGGAAGAAGAUGUCUUACAAAGCCUGAUGGAUAUGGACCUCGAUAGAACCUCCAUAGUUGUCUUGAAUGUCCUGUUGAAUCUGCUUUGCGGAAUUCCCAACAGAUUCUGGGCAGUUUCUUAUAUAGAUUAGAGCAAGUGUGGUUAUAUCUGCAAAAUCUUGAGGGAUUGAGUCCAAAAACCUGCAACUAUCAAGAAAUAGUCGUUCAAGGCACGGAAAGUGAUCACAACUAGCUCUCCAGUACUGAAUAUGUGAUCUUUUAAGUAACAAGAACUUCAAAAAAGGAAACCCUUCCUCAGCUACUUCCCACUCCCUGCCUCUGCAUACACCCUGUGUUAGUUCAAGAAGUUCAAGUUUGGGCAAUUUUCCGACAACAAUGCUUAAAUCCUUCCAUGACAAGAAGAAAUUUCCUGUAAAAGUUAAAUUCUUAAGGUUUCGUGGAAAAGCAUCUGGAGGAGGUAAGAUCAAAGAUGGAACAACUUCUACAACAAGUGGAUUCCUUGUCUGAAAACACAUUCUCCUCUCCAAAAAGUAAGCAUUAUUUUGAGGAGGAAGACAAAAUGCUAGUUCCUCGAGAUGAUCUAAGUAGCGAAAAUCAUAGAGGUCUUUGUGACUAUGGAAGUCUUGUGGGAUGCCACGUACUUGCAACUCCUUUAAAUUGGGAAAUAGUCUAAAGAAAGAUGCAGUACAAUAGCUAGGAUUCCAUCCAAACAGAGAAUGUAAAUUUUUCAUAACCAAACUUUUCUCUGUAAGCUCAUGAUAUCGCAAGUAAUUCCGAUCCAAAUGAAGGUGCCUCAACUGUGGCAUUGUCAAAAUAUCUGAUGGUAAUAUCAAAGCAUGUUUACGAAGAUUAAUGACGAGUGGAAGGUAAAGUACCAAACUUUGCAGAUAGCAUAGGUUUGAUAUGGAUGUAGGAAUGUCUACUCUUGAUGAGAGAACAUCUUCUUCGGAUCCUAGAUAUUGCUCAACGUUAGGAUAAAUACGCAAAGCUAGGUGUCUUAAGUGAAUCAAAUAAAGUAUUUCACGGGGAAAAGUUAGACAGAUAUUAUCAGCAAGAUCUAGAACUCUUACUAGCUUGAACGGCAAGUACUCCCUCAUGCAACAUCGGAAUCUACCAAAUAAGAUAACAGAAUGAGCUUCACUGUUAAGGCACCUAACAUACUCUUUCUUAUUAUGGAUGCUGAUUCGACUUCGACUCUUAGACAAACACUGCAUGGAUUUCACAUAUGAAUUUUGAUCAUUCUUUCUUCUGAGAACAUUCACAAAAUUCAUGUUACGAGCUUCCAUCAAACAGAGUUCACGAGUCAUAUCAUGAAUUCCACAACACUUAAUUUUUCCAUCAAAAGUAGUACUUUUAAUGGAAAUUAAACUUCUAUCAAUAAGAUCUUGUAGGUACUUUUCUGCCACUUCUUCUAUGCUUUUCAUCUCUUCUACCUUCAAAAAUCCCUCUGUUUCCCACAAUAUCAUAAGUUUAUUGACAAAAAUCAGUUUAUCCUCUGGGAAGAUUGCGAAAUAUAAAAAGCAUGGUUUUAGGUGGUGAGGCAAGUAAUGGUAACUCAUUGCCAACACCCUCAUGCAUUGGACACCAACAUCUGUGCUUACUGCUGAACUUACAUUUUCAGCAACACUUUGCCACUCACUCAAUGCUUUGUCAAUUUUAGUGAGAAGUCCCGCGAUCACAACAAUUGCUAGAGGCAAUCCUCCGCAUUUCAAUGCAAUUUGCUUUCCAAGUUGUUCAUAUUCAGGGGAGAAAGAGUCUUUCGUAAAGACUUUUUCAUAUAAUAAAUUCCAACUUUCGUCAAAAUUCAUGAGGCGCAUGUGAUGAGGAAGCUUACCUGAGCUAGCAUAUUCAGCCACUUCCACAUUCCGAGUAGUCAAGAGUAUUCGGCUUCCAUUAUGAAAGUCUGGGAAACAUAUUUGUAUAUCAUCCCAAGCUUUUGUAGUCCAUAUGUCAUCAAUGACUACCAAAUAUCUCUUGCCUUUUAGAAGCUUUUGCAGUCGAUCUGCUAGUUGCCCGUCAUGUAGCUGAUCAUAAGGUUUAUCACUUAUACAAGAAAGAAGGUCUAGGAAAACAUUUCUCACACAAUACUCUUGUGAAACAGUAGCUUUUGCACGUAUGUCAAAGCGAUACAUCAUGCAUGGAUCGUUGUAGAGUUUUGUUGCCAAAGUUGUCUUGCCAAUGCCUCCCAUACCUACAAUUGAUACAACUUCUAGUUCUCUUUCUCCUCUAGCAAGUUGAUCCAGCAUCAUCUUGAAUUCAUUUUCAUAGCCAACCAUUAUAACCUCGGACCGCUCAACAGCAAGUUCAGGUAUCUUGGAUAGACAGAAAUUUUGUGCUUUGAAAUCUUUAAUGUUGUUGUACCAGUCCCAUAUUGCCAACCACUGCAUCAUGAAGGAAUCAAUACAUUCUACCUCUUGUUCCAAGGAACAACAGAGUUCCCAGAAAGCUUUGCUUCGUGUAAUUACAGUUUCUGCAGAAGAAACUUUUCUUGAUUUCGAAUCAACCAUGUCUUCUGCUUUGAAUGCUACCUCCGUGAUUUCAACUUCCAAGGUUGUUAACCCCUCAUGAUCGCCCGUUAUAUUGCAGGAUUUCUCUAGAAUAGCUCUCAAAGAUUCGAGCUUUUCAUAAAACGGUUGCAAAUCACAUCCAUUAAGUUCCAUUGAUUGGUGUAUGGUUCUCAUAAGGGAAGUAACAGCAGCAUAAGCCAUAUAUCCAAAAAAUAGGAAUCUCUCACUCUCAGUAUGAAAAUGGACAAAUUAAUUGCCACAAGUUAUGUAAUCUUUCUUUUACUAACUAUUUCCAUCACAUUUCUAGCUAGGUCCACUAACAGGAUAAAGUAGAAAGAUGUGAGGUCACUAACCUUAUCAUCAUGAAGACAAAAGAAGAGACCAAAGUUAAAAAAAAAAAAAGACGAAAAAGUAGAAAAAAUUGUGAUCAUUCAUUAUUAGACCCUACACUAAUCUCUUCAGAAAAAUAAAAUAAAAUUUUAGUUUAAAUAAAGGAAUUCAAGCUGUAUAUUGAUAACGUCCAAUUCAAAUUCAAGUGUAGUACGGUCUAGCAAUAAUAAACUCAACAAAAGUUGGAGUCGAGGAGUACGCUUGUGUCAAGGUGACAGAGAGUGUGCGAAUUUGCUAACAAACAAAAGGUCUUUCUUUUAGCUAGGUCCAUAAUCCAUGUAGUGCUCUAUACUCUCUAGUCUCUAUCAACCAGCUCAAGUUUAAGGGUGUGUUUGGUAUGGAGGAAACAUUUUCUCUAGAAUAGGGAGAGAUUUGUGCAUAAACAAGGAAGAAUCUCUCAGUAUAACAGUGAAUGGGUAUUUUUUUAAGAUUUGCUUCUUUUGUGUAUGACUUUUGUAAGAAACAUUCUGGUAAAAGUUAAAAAAAAUGAUCUUGUGGAAUAGCCACAGUGAAUUCCUUAAUAUUCGAGUAGAAAAAGCCAGAGAGGAUAACAUUGCUAUUUGUACACUUAUCGUGACACGAGUAGUCUCUUAAAUAUUACACCUUUCUACUGAUGUUGCUGAUGCCACUGGAUUUAGCCUUCCGUCUUCCUUUGCAAGGUAGAUCGAGGACUCCCAAGAAAGGAAACACAAGUUACUGGAGUCUGUUCUGGCCUAUACAGUAUGUAUGUACAUAAAAUUUGGAGUAUCUAAAAACCACUGACAAAUGGCUAUACGAAAGAUCAUAUACAAUUAAAUUACAAGCCAUUUGCAAUCAUCCUGCCCCUUUAUGCAGAAUCUUUUCAAAGAAAAUGAAAACGAACAAAACAAACACUCACACAUUUGGCUUCUGAUUUGACAUUUAUUUCAGAGAACUGGCUAGUCGCUGCAGGAAAAAAAAAGACGCAAAAAAUGGAAAAUAAUAUGUUAGAUGUCCCAUAAUUAAGGAACAAGAGAACAUUAUAGCAAGAAUGAGCAUGCAGGUAUAAGAACUUACACAUUAUUGCGGCAAGAAGCAACUUCUUUCUCAAAGUCAUCAUCAUCAUCUUCAUCUGUUGUUACACUAUCGAAAAUGCUAGCUACAAAAGAUGAAAAAUGAAAUGUUACACUUCCCAAAAUCAAGAAUGAGCAUGCAAGUAUAACAAGUUACACAAUAUUGGAAGGAUUCGAAUCAAUCACAAUGACAGCAUCAAGAACUUUUGUUGAAUUGGUGUAAUUUGACUUACUAAAGCUAUUAUCCAGAUUAUUAUCGAGUUUACUAUAAUGAUGAGUUAAAUAUUGUUGUAAAUCAAGGAAGAAGAUGUCUUACUAAAGAUUACGAGUAUGGACCUCGAUAGAGCUUCCAUAGUUGUCUUGAAUGUCCUGUUGAAUUUGCUUGGCGGAAUUCCCAACAGAUUGUUGACAGUAAUGUAUAUCAAUAAGAGCUAGUGUGGUUAUAUCUGCAAAAUCUCGAGGGAUUGAAUCCAAAUACUCGCAAUUUCUAAGAAAAAGUCGUUCAAGGUACGGAAAGUGAUCACUACUAGCUCUCCAGUACCGAAUGUAUAUUUGAUCCAGAAACAAGAACUUCAAGUGAGGAAACCCUUCCUCAACUACUUCCCACUCCUCGCCUAUGACGGCAUUGUGUGAUAGUUUAAGGACCUCGAGUUUGGGUAAUUUACCAACAAUGCUCAAAUCCUUCCAUGCCAAAAGGAAAUCUCCUCUAAAAGUUAAACUCUGGAAAAGAUUAAUUAACAAAAAUUUAUGGUACUAAUUGGGGUAUUAAUUAACAUAUCCUUACUUGAUCACAUAUGUAUUGUUCUGUGUGAAAUUUUCCUCUGACUGAUAGUUGACUAAAUUAUAUUGCAUACGUUCGUGUACAUUUUCUCACUUGGAAGAGUGGAUUUGGACGUAAUUAACUAUCACCAUCGUUUAGGUAGAAAAAAGAAAAUAACUAAUAGUUGAAUGUUUUAAUACAUAGAUGAUCAACUAAUAUGAGAAGAAAAGAGUAGCGUAAAUGUGAGAUUCACUUCUCACCAAGAAUCCUCCUUUCUUAUUAUUUUCCUUUUAGAGGUUAAUAAUUAUUAAGUAUCCCUAGAAUAAUUUAUUGAAAAAGUAGAUUUGAAAGAAAGCAAUUACUCUCUUCUUCCUAUGCGGGACUUCUUGAACAUAACUAAUUUGACAAAAACCACAAUUUUAUUUAUUUUUAGGUGGAAUUAUAUCAAUAAGGAACUAUAUAUGCUUAUGAUAUUAAUCUAAGACCAUUAUUUGUUACUUGAACACAUGGAUUCAUCAUCUGAACAAUUGAAACAAUUAAUACUUGUGUGAACCUUUUUUUAUUUCGAGUGAUGUGUCAUAAUCAUUAGCCAACUAAGACUAGCGUUAAAUUUUUGGUAAGUCUCAAGAAGUGUAAUUAAUACUUAAUAAAAUAAUCUCAUCCUUGAGAUUCAAGAACUUGUUUGGAUUGAAUAGGUUUUUAUCAUCAAGAUCUAGAACAAAGUCUUAAUAUUAGUAAGAGGUAUUUUUGUGUGAAAAGUUUUCUUUGAGGUUCGAGAAAUGGAAUAGAUAUGGACUACAAGUUGAUAUUUCCCAUUGGAAAAUUCACACAAAAAGGAACAAGGAAUUCUCAAUGAAAAAAGCGCUCUCCAAAUCUGUUUAGUAUUUGUCAUGAGGUUCUUAUCAUAAUUGGAUUUUCCUUUUAGGAAAAGGUAAACACAGUCUCCAUAUUUGUCUAGUUCUUUUUCUUGUAGGAAAAAAAUUAUGACUCUAUAAAUAGAUGUUUUGUAACAUCCGACAAUUUGAAAUAGCUAAGAAGAGGCUUGAAAUUUGGAAAUUUUCAAUUUUUGGAAAGGAUUUGAAAAUCUGGAAAAUUUGGCUAAGUAUGGGAAAGGUGAGUUUUUUUGGGCCCAAACUUUGAACAACCAUAAAUUCUAGCUCAGGAUGAGUUAGGUGGAGUUCCGGUUAUGUUUGCAUAGCCCUCGGAACGACCUUUCCAACGCCACUGAGUUUGCUCAAUUCUGAGUUCGUAUGAGCGAGUUAUGGCCAUUGAAAGUUGGGCAGUUGGCAGGGAAUCCGUCCGGAAAAUUAAGGGCAUUUUAGUCUUUUCCCUAGCCAAUUCUUUUGGGAUUAUAUUGUUGUAUAGGGCUGAUCUUUAGAUCAUUUUGUCCCAUUUUAAGAAAUUAAAAUCUAGGGCUUGAGAGUGAAGAAGAGAAGAAGGAGAAGAAGAAGAGAAAAAUCGAGGAGAUCAACAAGUUUCCGACAAGAUCAUCGUGAAUGUUCGUCGGGGGUGAUCCCUAUCAAGGUAUGUGAGCUUUUAGUGUUGGGUGAUACUUUCCCCCACACACCUAGCCCCUUUUAUUUAUUAAGGAAGGAUUGGUUAUGUUGUUAAAGUUGUUAGUUGUUGUGGUUGAAGUUGUUGGAGUUGUUAAAGUUGUUAGUUGUUGUUGUUGGAAUUAUUGUUGGUGGUGGGACAUAAUUGAGUUGUGUUUUUAUGUUGAAAUCUAUUGAAUGUUGAGGGAUUUUAUGUUUCUAAGUGAUUGGGGGCUGGAAUCUUUGAGGUUAGAGGGUUUAGAGUUGGUAACGUGAAGGAGAAAGUCGGGUAGCUUGCGAGGAGCAUGUCUGCGUCGCGGACUUGUUCCUCUGUGAACAAAAAAUCUUCUCCGCGUCGCGGACAGGACGCAGACUCCACUGUUUUCAGAAUUUAUGUUCGAAGAUUUUCUUAGGUUUGGCUGUCCCAAAUCAUUCGCAAAUCAUUCCUAAACAUCAUGAGACCCUUCCAAACACCAAUCAAGUCCUUGAAUCCAUAAUCCAAUUCAAGGUGAGUUAUGAUCAAGUCAAGUGAAGUUAGUUUUCAAGUCAAGUGAAGUUAGAAGUCAAGUGAAGUUAGAGCCAAGCUUAGAAGUUAAGCAAGUCAAAGCAAGUCUUUAAAGCUUUUCAAGAGUCUUCAUUGAACGUUUUGACUUCAUUCUAAGGCUCAAGUUCCAAGUUAAGUAUAGAGUUUCAAGUCAAGCAAAGAGUCUCAAGUUUCAAGUUAAGUAAAGAGUAUCGAGUUUCAAUUUAAGUCAUAAUUUUUCAGUCAAGAGUCAAGAGUUGAGUUCAAUUCUCAAAAGUAAUUAGGGAACUAAGUAUUUCCCAAAGAAGUUUUAUAAGUGUUUUCACAUUUAAGUUGAGAGGAAACGGAGAUUUCCAAAAGAGUUUUGAGAAGUUUGAGCACUAUCUCUUUUAAAAGAAAAGAUGAGUUUUUGAAAAAGAGUUUCUAAAUUAUGAUUAGUAUGACAAAUGGAGUAUGUCAUCAAUGUUUAAACAGUAUGGUCUCUAGAUAUACCAUCAAUGUUUAAGCAGUAUGAAUAUCCCGAGUCAUCAAUGAUCAUAAAAAAAAAAAAUGUGGUUUUGACUUGUUCUAUUUAGAAAGAGUUUUCAAGUGCCUUCGGGCUAAGUUUUGAGUAAUUAUCUCAACUAAAGAAAGAUGUGCUUAAAACACUUAUGAGCUAAAGUAUUUUGGGAGUAGUAUCGAGCACCGAAUUGGGGAAACGAGUUCAUAUUAAACUCAACUCUCCAUAAGAACCAUGUAGCCAAACAUGGGAUUUCUCGGAUCAUACUUUUUAGAUGAUCACGAAAGUUAAGCUAGUGGAUCCAUUAAGCAAAAGUUAAAGUAAGGUCCUAUAUCGAUGGCAAGGUAUAGGAUGGUCCUUGGGCAACGUGAGGUAAAACGUUGUAUCACCACUCAGAUUCAUAGUGGUGGUUUGUCGGUUAGAGAAGCUCCCACAGUAGAAAGAGCAUGGUUCCUCGAGGGUUCUGCUUAGUAUGGAUGGGGGUAUGGGACUUCAUUCAUGCAUUGCACAAGUAGACUUUGAGAGGAAGCAUGGUAUUUUUAUGAUAUUAUAAAUAUGAUUUUUACGUCAUGUUUUAAUAGUUUCAAAAGCUUUAUAUAUAUUGCAUGUGUCUCAUUGCUUUAUAUUAAGUUCAGUUAUUCUUGAGUUGUACAGAGCCAAGGUAAGUUCUCUUUUGUAUCCCUUUUCAAGCUUAAGUUGUUGUUUAGCGGUCCAGCUCGCAUACUCGUACAUUCCAUGUACUGAUGCCAGUUGGCCUGCAUCUUAUGACGAUGCAGACACNNNNNNNNNNNNNNNNNNNNNNNNNNNNNNNNNNNNNNNNNNNNNNNNNNNNNNNNNNNNNNNNNNNNNNNNNNNNNNNNNNNNNNNNNNNNNNNNNNNNNNNNNNCAGUCAGUUAGUUUUGAGUCUCUCAUCUAUGUAUAUAUGUAAAUAUUCUAUUUUGAGACUCGAGUGGCCUUUUUGGCCAGAUGUGUAUCAUUUAAGUUGUUUAUGUCUUUGCAUGGCAUUGAGUUAUUCUGUUGAGUAGGUUUCCGCUGAGUUAAGAAAGCCAGGCCAAGGGUUCGCUUGGGGCCAGCAAUGGUCUCUGAGUGCCGGUCCCGCCCAGGGUGUAGGCUCGGGGCGUGACAUGUUUAUUCAUUCUAGCUUGGUAGCAUUCAUAAUGCAAUCCUAGGGGGCUUUGAGAGUUUUGUGUAUUGUGUGAAGCUAGAGGAAGAAUGUAUGAGACACAAGUAUUACUUUAACACUUGUGUGAACCUCUUUGUAUUCAGAGUGAAUUGUGUGAGGUUAUUCUUCUCUAGAUUUUAUAGUGAUUUUUUCAUCUCCUCUUGUGGAUGUAGAUCGGUUGACCGAACCACGAUAAAUGUUUGUGUCUUUUGAUAUAUUUCUUGUUUGUCUUAUUACUCAUCGUCUUUCAAGGUUUGCUUUGCUAGCUUUUGCAUGACACCUAAUUAUUUCAGUCCCAACAAGUGACAUCAGAGUCAGGUUCAAUGGUUUAAUGAUUCAAUGGUCGAACCAUGUUAAAAAUAAGUGUUCAUCUUGACGGGUUUAGUUCUAGCCGUAACAUAUUUGACAGUAAUGAAGAUUUUUGUUGGAGAAAUAUUUUCAAAGAUGUUUUCUGUGUUGAUAUAUAUAUAUAUAUAUAUAUAUAUAGAUUUUGCAGAGGAGAUGCAAGGUAUUGAAGAUUAUGUGAAGAAGGUGGAUCAAAUUUAUUUUGUCAGAAAUUUAGGCCAAUGGAGAUAUUUGUUUAGUAUUUGUCAUGAAUUUCUUAUCAUAAUUGGGUUUUUUCUUUUAGAAAAAGGAAACCACAAAGUUUCCAUAUUUGGCUAGUUCUUUUUCUUGUAGGAAAAUGUUUGACUCUAAAAUUAUAUGUGUAUUCCUUCUAGCCUAAUAGCAUUUACAAUGUAGUCCUAAGGGGCAUAGAGAGUUUUGUGUAUUGCGUGUAGCUAGGGGGAGAAUGUGUGAGACACAAGUGUUACUUUAACACUUGUGUAAACCUCUUUGUUUUUCCAUUGAAUUGUGUAAGGUUAUUCCUCUCAAUAUUUUGUACUUUCUUUUAUAUAGUGAAUUGCUCAUAUCCUCUUUUGGAUGUAGGUCGGUUGUCCGAACUACGUUGAAUAUUUAUGUCUUUUGGUAUAUUUUUCGUUUGUAUUAUUACUCAUGGUCUUUCAAAAUUUGCUUUGCUAGCUUUUGCCUGAUACCUAAUAAUUUCAGUCCCAACAAAACCAAACGUGAAAGUUGUUUUCCAGCAGACAACUUUUCUAGUAGCUCUACUCUCGACUUGGAUAAUUUAACCAAAAAGGUACGCUUUCGGCCAUUCUACAUGCUGCCUAUGUAGAGACAUGUUUAUCUAAAGUGGAUUCUCUUUUUUGUAGUAGGUAUCAAACCUGUUAUGCCCAUUGACUAAGAAGCUAGGGGUGGACACAACAACUACAUGGACCUCUUUCUUACAUCGGCCAUCACUAUUAAUCGUCUUUGUUAUCACAAUGACCACCACUAUUACCGUCAUCAAACAUCUCUGUCCUCACAAUUACCAUUAUUAUCAACCACUACUAUAUAUCAAACAUUUGCUAUAUUUAUGUUUUUUAUUGACAUAAACAAUGGGUUAACAUGAUAUAAUUUAUUAGUAGUUUUAUAUAUUUUUCUUAUAAUAAAGGAAACAAUCACUUAUACAUUCUUUGAGAUCAUUUAGUUUAAAAUCAGGAGUGGAAUCAUAACUAGGGUUAUAGCUUAGCAUCAAUUCACCUUCUUAAUUAAUGGGAUAAUUUAAUUAGCUAAAUUUGAAUGAAAAGAAGAAGAAAUUGAUUAAUUUAAUUCGUUUACGUUCCAAUGGGGUGUGCAAUAUCCAUAAAUUUGUCAUGUCGUUAUUAGGUGUUCAUGAGAUGCACAUAUUCCAAGCAAAAGUACCUAUUUGAUCACUAGAUGAGUUUAAGUAUUCAAUUUACAAAUUCUGCCAAAUUUGAGGGACUAUCUAGGUAUUAUUUAGAUAAAAUUAUUUGUAUAGUCCACUCUAAACAUACUUAUAAUUAAGCAAGUAACAUAUACUAUAUAAAGAAGCUUCUAGAGAUAAUUAAAGUUAACUCUAUAUAAUUAGAGUUGCAAUAACAAAUACGUCAAAACAUUAAAGUGUUUCACCAAUAAAGUCAUUUUUUUAAUGUCCAAAACUAAUCCAAUGGAAGCUCUAUUAUGUGGAACACCAGAAGAAGUUUCAGUAUUGUUGGUACAUCAUGAAGUAGAAUUUCUUACUAAUCAGACUGUUAAAUUGUUAGAGGCUUAUAAAUACAAAGGUGACAUUCUAGAAUUUUUUUAACUUUUUUGUUUCUUUGAUAUAAUAACUAAAUGCCGUGUGACAUUUUUUUUUAUAUAUAGAGAGAGAUUGAAAUGAUAUGCUUUUUGUUAUCUCAUUUAUGAUUUUAGCAUCGUCCAUUUUUAAAUUUCAUUUAUCUUGUAAAUCUUGAACUUUUCUUUUUCCUUGUUAUCAUAGCACUUUUUAAUUUUUACAAAUUUAUCUAUCCUCGAAGAAAAAUAAUUCUACAUUAGUGAUGGAUGCACAAGAAAUUAGGAUGACGGGAGGGAAGAGAAAGAGCACGAAAAAGACAUGAUAAGAGAUGAUCUGUCUAUCAUUAUUACUUGAGAUAAUAUUUUUUUGUCUUUUAUUGGAUGUAUAAAAAAAAAUGAGGAGAUCUAAUUUUCAUUAAAAAAACAUUUCCCUUUCUAUUUUUUGUUUUUGUUUUUCGUUGGACGUAGACAAAAAAUUGGCAACUCCUUUCUUAUACUUUGUUAGAUCAUCUAAUUACAUAUCUAUGAAAUAAAAUUACCUCAAAACAUUUUAUCCUAUUAUCUUUUGCUUUAAUAUUUAUUUGUUUUUGACAAGCCAUAAAUAAAUUGGAAUAGUUUUUAGAAAUAUAUUCUUUAGGAUCUUCUCUAGUUUUUAGUAAUCCAAUUAACGAAAAAAAAAAACUAAUAUAUACUUUUUAUGUAACCAAUCUAGUUAAGAUUGCACUCAUCAUUUAUAAUAUAAGUUGAUUAAUAUGUGUUAUUUUAAAAAUUAAAGUGCAGAAAUAUAACAUGAAAAUUCACAGUUGAAUUUGAAUAACAAACAAACAUAUCCAAAUGAUACCUUUGUGUACAAUAUUUUUUUUUUCAUAAUUUUCACUGAUUUCAAAUUGCACGGGUAUAUGUAGUUACGGAAGUUAUGGCUCCUGCGGCAAUGUCAAUGCUUUUCAAAGAAAAGAAAAAAAUUGAUGCAAUGAUAAUCAAGGUCAUUUCACCGGAUUCACAUUGCUUUGAGCUCCUGGCACAAGCUGUAACCUUGAACAUCAUCGUAGUAAGUAAGUAUUUAUAAUUCUAUCUUCCACUUAUUAUUAUAGACGGUAAAGUAAGUUUUUUUAAUUAACUAUUGCAUAAUGUAUAUAAUAUUAUUCAAUUUUAAUUGCUAUCUUCUUGAUAUAAUUAUGCAGUUGUCUAUGAUGAACUCAAUGAAUUCUUAGUGAAGAAAGCUUUGGACAAUGGAGCUUACAUUUGCUCGAAGAAGCCUCUUGUCGAGCAAACUAUGACAUUCUUGUGGCAAUUUGUAUGGAGGGAGAAAACACAAAGAGGGAAAUCAAUAAAAAGAGUAGAAACAAAGGGAGAUCAUAUUUUUGUUUGAAGUUAUUGGAGUUCUGAGAAAACAAUAGGUCGUGGUUUUUUCCUCCCUUGAGCAAAGAGGUUUCCACGUUAACAUAUGUGUUCUUACUUUAAGCAUUUAGAUUACUUCUUGUUAUCAGUAUAGUCAAGUGGUCAGAACACGAGAAGACAUGUCACUAAACAACAACAUAUAUAGGAAAAAACAAACUCUGCUAAGUGAUCGAUCCGUGUGUGAUAGUUGCCUUCUUAACCUUGAACUAUUGCUUCCUGCUAGAUUAUAUGAACUUAGAUAUGUAUACAAAUUAGUAUUCAAUGAGUUCCCAAACAUUCGUGCAUAAACAAUUUCCCCUGUUGUCGUGCCACCAGGACUUAGCAUAUGUUCUGUAUUUGUAUAAUUUCGAUGAUGAUCAUGAGAUUGCUGGGAUAAUGGAGGCAUAUUAUUAUUGUGUAUUAGACCGUGACUCCUACAUCUCGAACUAGGAGGUCUUUGUGGUAUGACUAUACCAAAAUUCUAUACCAAAAUUCGGGGCCUUAAUUUCAGAUGUUUUUGUAGCUUGACAGCGACCAUAGAGUGGAAUCAAUGUUUUUUGUGAGACUUCAGCUUUGCAAACAGGGCAAUUUGGUUGUUGGUUAUCGAUGUUCUCUGAUGAAAUGGUCUUAAAAUGUAUCCAUUUGUAGAUGCAAGGCCAACAAUAGGAGGUGACCACAUAAUGUAACAACAGGAUCAUGUACAACAUCUAGGCAAAUGUUGCACUCGAAACCUCCAGGUGAAUUUUCUUCAAGUUUAUCAAGAUCAAUUGUCUCCAUUUUUCAAAGGAAAUAUCGCGUUGAUCAAAGGUAGUUUCUGCUAUUUGGUCUUGAAAAAUUUGUUCUAAGGCCAUAUUUGCCUCUUGGUAUUGAAUUAUUUUGGUAAUGGCAAGAUGAAGAAUGGUUAGAAUUCAGGUUUUUAAUACAAUUAGAAGUGAGUAUUUAUAAGGACAAAGAAUAGUAGUUUGCAAACAAUGAUUCUUAAGGUUGUCACUUGUCAACAUCACAUUAUGUUAAAGGGGCAUGGCCAAAAAGAAAAGGCCCUACACAUUAUUAAACAACACUAUAUCAUAUUACUCAACAGUCUUGAUUUAUGGGGUAUUGUUUGAUUUGAUAUAACAUUUAAUAAGAAAAUGAAGACUUUUAAAAUAUGUACUGUAUUAAAGAUAAAAAAUAAAUUUUAAGUUUUUCGAUCCUAGAAAUGAUAUUCUUUUUAUAUUAAGACUAAAACAAAUGUUUUACAUAAAUUAAGAUAGAUGAACUAUCAAACACAUCAUAAUUAAGUGAUUUAAUGAAGUCAAAAAUAAAUAUUAAUGGAUCAUGGUUAAGUGAGAGGAGUUUUGUGCAAACACGUCUUUUAUCUAUCUAUUUGAUUUAAACAAGCAUAAGUUUUAUCAUAUUAGAAAUAUGAUUAGGACCUUAUAUUAGGCCCCAUGAUAGGAAUCUUAAUCUAGAAAAUAACUUUUAGUCAAUAAAAAGUAGCACUAGUUGCGUACAAGGAGCUACCACUUGAUGACCUUCCACACUUCCACAUCCCAUAAGUUCAAUAGUUUUCACACUAUAAGAACUAGAUGUUUUUUUCCGCGUGAAUCAAUAAAAUUUUUAGUUUUAUGUUAUAAAACAUGAUUUUUUUCAUUUUGAUUUUAUUAAACUAAUUCACUAAGAAAAUUCAUAACGAAACAUAAGUUCUCAUUGAAAUACUGGAAAUAGUCACUUGGAAAUUUAUGAGUUUUAGGAAAUUAUGCAUCAAAACUUAGAAAGACGCGGCUCAUAUAGAAAUUUGUUGUUAAAUCAUAAUAUAUACUUUUACAUCUGAAUAUCUUUAUUGAUUUGGUUAAAAUUAUAAUUAAAAAAAUUACAAUACAAUAUAUAUAGAUUCACAUAAAUUUAAUACUGUAAGUUCAAUUAUUAUUCAAUUAUUAUUAUGAUAUAUUAAUCUAAAAUUAUUAUAGAAGCUUCUAAACUCUAAAUUCAGAUCCAACUAAGGAGUGAAUAUACAUAGUGGGGGUCUGGGGGAUGGGAGAAAACAUAUGGACGGUGUGACAAAUAAAUAAAAGAAAUACUCCGUCCAUUCCAUUUGACUUAGUAUUGUUUGACUUAAUACGAUGUAUAAGAGAAAAAAAAGAUUUUAGAAAAUUAUAGGCUAAAACAAUUUUUAUAUAUUUAUAUAAUUGUAAAUCAUUUCAUUAAUUAAGGGUAGAUGGAGAAUUUUAAGUUUAAUUAUUUUCAAUUACAAUAAAAUGACAUUUUUAAAGACGGAUUAUGAGAAUAGAGUGCCACGUAAAAUAAAACGAGAAAAUACUACUCCCUCCUUCCCAUUUUAUAUGUUACCUUUUUACUUUACAUUUACAUUAAGAAAUAAUGUAACUUUACCCUUCUACCCUUAUUUAAUGUUUUCUUAAGUUAACUUUAUAACUCCCUCCGUCCCAUUUUAUAUGUCAUCUCUUUCUAUAAAUAGUUGGACCACAAUACUUGUCAUUUUAUAAAAUUUAUGUAUAAAUUACCAUAUUUUACCUAUUAUAUCCUUGAUAGAGUAGUUAAUUAAUCUUGAAAAUAUAUUCAUCAUUUAUUAUAAAUUGACUUAAGAAAAUAUUAAAUAAGAAUAGAAAGAUAAAAUUACAUCAUUUCUUAAUAAAAGUAUAAAGUAAAAAUGUGACGUAUAAAAUAGAACGGAGGGAGUACUACAAAAGAACGAGUCCGCACAUGCAUUAUACAAGUACUACAUGUGUCUCGAAUUUAGCAGCCUUUUGUCAACUUUUUAUAUUUUGGCUUACUUGGAAGCAAGUCUAUCCUCUCCUAUACAAUCAAUUAGGGUGGCCAUUAAUCAUAUAUUAUUAGGCUAAAGAUAACAUAUUGCUCCCUCCGUUUUUAAUUAUUUAUCCAUUUUUUUAGUUAUUCCUAAUUACUUGUCUAUUUUUACAAAUCAAGAAAGAACAAUUUUUUUUACCUAUUAUACCGUCAAUUUAUUACUUUGAAAAAAGUAGAACUUUUUGAAAAUCUUGAGUUUUUAAUUCAUCCACUUCAUAAUUAAUAUGGAUAAAAUGGUAAACUCACUAUUUCAAUAAUUGUUUUCUUAAUAGGUGUGCCAAUUCAAAAAUGGACAAGUAAUUAGGGAUAGAGAAAGUAUAUCGAAAUAAUAUAAUAAGAUAUUAUGCUAAAGAUAAUUAACAAAACUUUGAACAAUUAUAAAUAAGAUAGCAAAAAAAUCCAUAGUAAAUUAACAUGGUUCAACGAUUAGUGAUGGAAUCUGAAUAUGAUUCAGGAUUUUCACUAUUAAUGAAAUUCAAAAGGAAUAAUACAUAAAUGUGCCCUUUAACUUGACUUCAUUUUAUGUUUAUGUCCUUCAACUUUGGGUAUACACAAAUAUGCACCUAAACUUGUAUAAAGUUGAACAACUAGACACAUGAGUCCUACAUGACACAAUACACAUAAGAUACCACGUAGGAUAAAAAAUGCCAUGUAGGACAUGUGUGUCUAUUUUUUCAACUUUAUACAAAUUUAAAUAUCUACUUGUGCACACCCAAAGUUGAAGGGCAUAAAUGUGAUUUGAAGCCAAGUUAAAGGGUAUAUUUAUGUAUUAUGCCUAUUCAAAAUAUGAAUAAAUAAACAUAUAAAUUAGCUGACUACAAUAAUAGACAGAUAAAAAAUAAUUUUAACUAUAUGUAUAAAUAAUAUAAUUUUUCAUCGAAAGAGGUUCAUCUGAUUCCUCACUACUUUCUCUCAUUCAAAACUAAGCAAUAUGAGACUUUCAUGUCACAUGGAACCCUUUUUUUUUUUUUUGGAAAUCUCAGUAGUUCAGUUAAUUGACUGACUAUCUGAAUUCUCGAUUUCCCAUGUUGUAAUCCUCUACCCCAAUUUUUUUAUUACCUUCCUCACAUAUGUAUAAGACCGAAUCCAAAUAUCUAAGAUGAGAGAAUUUUGGGAGAGCCACCGACUCCAACUACUGCCAUAUAUUAUCCAUAUUAGAUUUGACCAACUAUCCAUCCUACCCUCCUCUACGUUCUUGACAACCCAUUUUUGUCUUAGUCAAGUCUUUUAGUGGCACGUUUUGAUCCUCUUUUCAAUUACUUAGAAAAAGUGAGUUAUUAUUCAGAUACAAAAUACUAUCAUUAUCGCCUAAAAAAUUAGACAUUCAACCCGUAAUCACAAUGAUCCAAUUACAAAAGCUCCGAACCCCCUAGGUCUAGACUGGCUCUGGCCCUAGUUUUAUCUCUUGACCUUCACAUGAGUAAACUCGUUGAUAUAGAGGAUUACAGUAUUGAUUUCUUUAAAAGAAAAAAACCUUAAUUUAAGGUAUGGAGGCCUAGAAAGGAAACACACGUUAUAUAUGGAGCCUGUUCUGGCCUAUACAGUAUAUAUGUACAUAAAAUUUGGAGUAUCUAAAGAACCACUGACAAAUGGCUACGAAAGAUCAUAUACAAUUAAAUUACAAGCCAUUUGCAAUCAUCCUGCCACCUUAAGCAGAAAAAAUGAAAACGAAUAAAACAAACACUCACACAUUUGGCUUCUGAUUUGACAUUUAUUUCAGAGAACUGGCUAGUCCUCAGAACACCUUAACUACUCGCUGCAGAAAAAGAAAAAAAAGACGCAAAAAAUGGAAAAUAAUAUGUUAGAUGUCCCAUAAUUAAGGAACAAGAGAACAUUAUAGCAAGAAUGAGCAUGCAGGUACGUAUAAGAACUUACACAUUAUUGCGGCAAGAAGCAACUUCUUUCUCAAAGUCAUCAUCAUCAUCAUCAUCUUCAUCUGUUGUCACACUAUCGAAAAUGCUUGCAACAAAAGAUGAAAAAUGAAAUGUUACACUUCCCAAAAUCAAGAAUGAACAUGCAAGUAUAACAAGUUACAAAAUAUUGGAAGGAUUCGAAUCAAUCACAAUGACAGCAUCAAGAACUUUUGUUGAAUUGAUGCAAUUUGACUUACUAAAGCUAUUAUCCAGAUUAUUAUCGAGUUUACUAUGAUGAUGAGUUAAAUAUUGUUGUAAAUCAAGGAAGAAGAUGUCUUACAAAAGAUUCACGAGUAUGGACCUCGAUAGAGCUUCCAUAGUUGUCUUGAAUGUCCUGUUGAAUUUGCUUGGCGGAAUUCCCAACAGAUUGUUUACAGUCACUUAUAUCAAUAAGAGCUAGUGUGGUUAUAUCUGCAAAAUCUCGAGGGAUUGAAUCCAAAGAAUAGCAAUCUUUAAGAAAAAGUCGUUCAAGGUACGGAAAGUGAUCACUACUAGCUCUCCAGUACCGAAUGUAUACUCUAUCCAGAAACAAGAACUUUAAGUGAGGAAACCCUUCCUCAACUACUUCCCACUCCUCGCCUAUGAAGGCAUUGUCUGAUAGUUUAAGGACCUCGAGUUUGGAUAAUUUACCAACAAUGCUCAAAUCCUUCCAUGCCAAAGAAAAUUUUCCCCUAAAAGUUAAACUCUUAAGGUUUUGUGGAAAAGCAUCCGGAGGAGGUAAGAGUAAAGUUGGAACAUCAGUUGGAGGUGCAGUUCCCCCGAAACGAGUCUGAAACCUCAGAGGAUCUUGCGGAGUAGAACCUGAAGGUGCAGUGUUUUUUAGAAAGCAAGCAAUAGGUGAAUAAUAAAUACCAAAUGUCAAUUUCUCGAGCUGAUAUAAGUAGCGAAAAUCAUACAGGUCCUUGUGAUUGCGAAAGUCCUCUGGGACGCCAAAUACUUUCAACUUCUUUAAAUUGGGAAAUAGUCUAAAAAAAGACCCUGUACAAUACCGAGGAUUCAAUUGAUUGAGGCAUUGCAAACUUUUCAAAACCAAUCUGUUCUCUGUAGGCUCAUGACUCUGCAAGUAAUUCCAGCCCAUAUGCAGCUUCCUCAAUUGUGGCAUCGUCAAAAUUUCCGAUGGUAAUAUGAAAGGAUAACUACUAUUGGGAAAUGGAAGGUAAAGUUUAAAAGUUUGCAGAUAGCAUAGGCUUGAUAUCGAUAGAGGAAUGUCUAUUAUUGAUGAGGGAACAGCUUCUUUCGAUCCUCGAUACUGCUUUAAGCAAGGCUUAAAACACAAAGAUAGGUAUCUCAAAUGAAAUAGAGAAAGUACUCCACUGGGAAAAAAUGGGCAUAUAGUCAAACCAAGAUCUAGUACUCUUACUAGCUUGAAAGACAAUGCCAGUGUGACGCAUUUGAAUCCACCCAACAUGAUAAUAGAAUGAGCCUCACUGCUACAACACCAAACCAAUUUUUUCUCAUUAUGGAUUCUGAUCCGAUUUCGACUCUUAAAGGAACACUGCAUGGAUUGUUCACAUGAAUUUUGAUAACUCUUUCCUCUGAUAACAUUCACAAAAUUCAUGUUUCGAGCUUCCCUCAAACAGAGUUCACGGGUCACAUCAUGCAUUCCACAACUUUCUAUUGUUCCACGAAAACUAAAAUUGUGGAUGAAAAUUAAGCUUCUAUCUAUAAGUUCAUUUAUACAUGUUGUUGCCACCUCUUCUAUGCUUUUUCCCUCUUCUUCAUUCAAAAACCCCUCUACGGCCCAUAAUUCAACAAGUUUAUUUACAUAAAUCUGUUCAUCCUCUGCGAAAAUUGCAAAAUACAGAAAACACGGUUUUAGGUGAGAAGGCAAGUGAUGGUAACUCAAAGCCAACACUCUCAUGCACUUUGCUUCAAGAUCUGUGCUUACCACUGAACUUACAUUCUCCGCAACAUAUUGCCACACACCCAAUGUUUUACUGAUUUUGGAGAGAAGUCCAGCAAUCACAGUAAUUGCUAGAGGUAACCCUCCACAUUUUAAUGCAAUUUGUUUCCCAAUAUUUUCAAAUUCAGGAGAAUAAGAACCUUCUUUUUCAAAGAUCUUUUUGUGUAGUAAAUUCCAACUUUCGUCAAAAUUCAUGAGGCGCAUGUGAUGAGGAGGCUUACCUGACCUAGCACAUUCAGCCACUUCCACAUUCCGAGUAGUCAGGAGUAUUCUGCUUCCAUUAUAACAGUCUGGGAAACAUAGUUUUAUAUCAUCCCAAGCUUCUGUAGUCCAUAUGUCAUCAAUGACUACCAAGUAUCUCCUGCCUUUCAGAUGCUUCUGCAAUCGGUCCGCUAGCUGAUCAUCAGGUUCAUCACUUAUCGAAGGAAGAAGGCCUAGGAUUACAUUUCUCACACAAUACUCUUGUGAAACAGUUGCUUUUGCACGAAUAUCAAAUCGAGACAUAAUGUAAGGAUCACUAUAGAGUUUUGUAGCCAAAGUUGUUUUCCCGAUACCUCCCAUCCCUACGAUUGAGACAACUUCUAGUUCCCUUCCUCCUCUAGCAAGUUGAUCCAGCAUCAUCUCAAAUUCAUUUUCACGGCCAACCAUUAUAUUCUCGGGCUGCUCAACAGCAUGUUCAGGUAAACUGACAAGUGAGCUAGUUUGUGGUUUUAGAUCUUUCAUGCUGUCCGAUGCUGCCAUCCACUGUUUCACGGUGGAAGCAAUGCAUUCUAGUGCUUGUUCCAAGACGAAAAAAAUCUCCCACAUAGCCCUGCUUCUUUCCUCCAAAUUCUGUGCUAAAAAAACAUUUCUUGAUUCCGAGUCAACCAUAUCUUCUGUUGUGUAUGCUACCUCUGCGAUUUCAACUUCCAAGAUUGUUAACCCCUCAUGAUCGCCCAUUAUAUUGCAGGAUUUCUCCAGAAUAGCUCUCAAAGAUUUGAGCUUUUCAUAAAACGGUUGCAAAUCACAUCCAGUAAGUUCCAUUGAUUGAUGUAUGGUUCUCAUAAGGGAAGUAACAGCAGCAUAAGCCAUAUAUCCAAAAAAUAGAAAUAUCUCUCAGUAUGAAAAUGGACAAAUUGCCACAAGUUAUGUAAUUUUUCAGUUUUUAAGAAAACAGAAAAUGCAAAGUUCUUUCUUUUACUAGCUAUUUCCAUCACAUUUCCAGCUAGGUCCACCAACCUUAUCAUCAUGUAGACAAAAGCAGAGACCAAAGUUAAAAAAAAAAGAAAAAAGGCAGGACUCUAACAGGAAAAAGUAGAAAAAAUUGUGACCAUUCAUUAUUAGACCCUACACUUAUCUAUUCAUGAAUAUAGGUAUGUUUCUUACAUACAAGAGAUUGAUGAUUUUAAUUCCAUUGAAAGCAACUUCGUAGAAUUUUCCAAAUCAAAGAGAGAGAAAUAUUAAGAUCCAAGUAGGAAUUUCUCUAUUCCUAGUUCGAUUCAAUUAACCAAGCAUAAAUAUCUCUUUAAAUAUAUAUGAGAAGUUUAGACUCUAAAAGUCAAAUCAACAAAAUAUUUAUGGGCUAACACAUGAAAAACUAUUGAGAAAAUUGCCUAAUUUCUGUAAAUUGGCCCUUAAAUCUCCAAAAUGGACUCUAAAAAUUGUCAGACUGUACGUAUUGCUCCCAACUCCCUACUAAGGGUUCUGUAAUUUCGAUUAGAAUUCGCCCGUAAGUCAUAUCACCAAUAUAUUAAUGACUAACACACACGAAAAACUAAGAAAAUUGUCUAAUUUCUUGAAAUUGGCCCCUAAAUGCCUAAAAUGGACUCUAAAAAAUUGUCAGACUGUACGUAUUGCUCCCAACUACCUACUAAGGGUUCUGUAAUUUCGAUUAGAAUUCGCCCGUAAGUCAUAUCACCAAAAAUAUUAAUGGGCUAACACACACAAAACACUGAGAAAGUCGCCUAUUCCUGUAAAUUGGCCCCUAAAUGCCCAAAAUGAACUCUAAAAUUGUGAGACUAUGUACUGCUCCACUAACUCCCUAUGGAGGGUUCCGUAAAGAUUUCACAAAGAAAUUAUUCGGAAGAUAUAUCACCAAAAUAUUUAUGGGCUAAUACAUUUUUAUUUGUCCAUUUGAUUUGAUAUAUCUUUCAAGUACUUUGAUCCGGUUAUACUUUUUUUUUAUUGCUAAAAAUAAAUAUCCACUUUUACUUGUUCAUUCUACAAAACAAAGACAAUAUUUUAUUGCUUGAUUCAGAUAUAAAAUUUGAGUAGGCUAAUUUACAAACCAUCUGUAGUCAUCCUGCCCCUAUGCUAUAACAUUUGAAAGAAAGAGGUCAUCAUCAUCAUAUUCAUCAUCGUUGUCAUCUUCAUCUUCAUCUUCAUCAUCAUCUUCAUCUUCAUCAUCAUCUUCAUCAUCAUCUUCAUCUUCUUCAUCAUUAUCAUCAUCAUCAUCAUGAUCGUCAUCGUCACUUGUUUCCUCACUGUUGAAAAAGCCAGCAACAAAAGAUGAAAAAUGAAAUGUUAUGCAAGUAUAACAAGUUACACAAUUACUAUAUUGGAAGGAUUUAAAUCAUAUACAAUGACAACGUAUGAACUUUUACACUAUAGGUGCCAUUUAACUGCUUAUUAAAGCAACUUAUAAUUAUUUUAUUACUAGUUCUGGACACAUGCUUUGCAUGUGUAUAUUACACGUUUAGUCACGAUUGUAAGAGGGUGUACACCAGGAUCAUUCGAAGAGCAAAGUCGUGUGAGCCUUACAGAUAUUCUUGACGUACUCCUAUUAAAAUCUGUAUCAUAAUAUCUGAUGAAAUCAGCUACUGAUCAGUCAAGCUCUCCAUUGAUGUAGACUUCAACUACACAUGAGAAAGAAUGAGAGAAGAAGAGAGAAGAGAAGAGAAGAAGAAUCUAGAAGAGCAACAUGAAAAUUAAUCUCUCAUUGAAUGUGAAUUAAAACUACAAGAAUUACAAUGUGACUAUAUAUAUAUAAUCACUGGCAGAAAUUAACUAACUAACAAACUUGAUUCUAACUAACUCUACUGUACAUAGAUUCUAACUAACUCUACUGUACAUAACCGACUCUACUGUACAUAACUAACUAAUUAUACUUUAUAUUCUCAUCACCCCCCCUCAAGUUGGAGGUGAUGUAAUUACAGACAACUUGUGCAAUAAGGCAGUAUGUUUAACUCCAGUCAGAGCCUUGGUGAAGAUGUCUGCCAACUGUGAAUCAGUGGGAAUAUGAUGGAGUGUGAUUAGGCCUUGUUGAAGCUUGGUCCUAACAAAGUGACAAUCGAUUUCUAUGUGCUUUGUCCUCUCAUGAAAAACUGGAUUCUUUGCAAUGUGGACUGCUGCUUGACUGUCACAAUGGACAGGGAUAGGUAAGGAGCAUUGUACAGUCAACUCAUCCAACAAUCGUUCAAGCCACACUAGUUCUCCUACAACUUGUCUCACAGCUCUAUAUUCAGCUUCAGCAGAUGACAAAGACACUGUUGCUUGCUUCUUAGACUUCCAGCUGACAGGACUAUCACCCAGAAGCACUAGGUAUCCACUAACAGACUUCCUGGAAUCAGGGCAAGCAGCCCAAUCAGAAUCACAAUAAGCACUGAUAGUGAGAUCAGGCUUGUUUGAGAUAAAAAUUCCCAAUGUUGGAUCCUGUUUCAAAUAUCUGAGCACAUGGUAUGCUGCUUUUAAAUGUGGUUCCCUAGGUGAUUGCAUAAAUUGGCUCAAGUGUUGUAUACUAUAAGCUAUGUCCAUUCUAGUGUUGGUCAAAAAAUUUAGCUUACCAACCAACUUCCUGUAUUGAGUAGGAUCAGAUAAAAGAUUGCCAUCUGUAGCUGUUAACUUCUCAGUGCAAUCAAGUGGUGAUGUAGUGGCCUUGUGACUUAACACAUCAAAAUCUUUCAGGAGAUCAGAAGUGAAUUUCCUUUGUGAAACUAGCACUCCAUCAUGUCUGUAUAAUAUUUCCAGUCCCAGAAAGUAGUGUAGUUUGCCCAAAUCCUUUAUCUUGAACUGAUCAUUUAAGAAGCUCUUUAAGGAGUUGAUUUCAGCCACAUCUGUUCCAGUUAGAAUUAUGUCAUCCACAUAUACAGCAACAAACACCAAGGAGCAGCCCUUCCUUUUGUAGAACAGUGAGUAAUCACUGUCUGAGUGCUGAUACCCUCUUGAACAUAGACAGUUUGCCAACUUCUCAUACCAUUGCCUGCUGGCCUGUUUUAGUCCAUACAAAGACUUCUUCAAUUUGCACACCAUGUUAUCACAACCUACUACAAGACCUUGUGGAGGUGCCAUGUACACUUCCUCAUGCAAAUCACCAUGUAAGAAUGCAUUAUUGACAUCUAGCUGAUACAAGCUCCAAUCUUUCUUAACAGCUAAAGAGAUUAAUGUUCUAACAGUAGUCAUUUUAACUACAGGUGAGAAGGUUUCAGUGUAAUCUACCCCAACUUGUUGUGUAUAACCUUUGACCACCAACCUACACCCCAGCUUGUUGUGUAUAACCUUUGACCACCAGCCUAGCCUUGAACCUCUCCACACUCCCAUCAGCUUUGUGCUUGAUUUUGUACACCCACUUGCACCCAAUAGCUUUCUUCCCAUCAGGUAACAUGACCAUCUCCCAAGUGUCAUUAGCAUACAAAGCUUCAAACUCCUGUGUCAUGGCCUGCUGCCAGGCAGGGUGCAAUAUUGCUUCCUCAAAUGAAAUAGGCUCACAUUCAUGUGAAAUGGUUGUUACUAACUGCUGACUAUCAGAACAAAGACUGGUGAAACAUACAUGUUUAUGGGGAGAUAUAAAGGAAGUGAGGGAGUGCAGCUUAGGUAUAGUGUAGGUGUAUUCUUUUAGGUAAUUAGGAGUGUGUAUGGUUCUGGUUGUUCUUCUAGGUGCUGAUAUUGUAGGUACUGGUAAAGUAUCAUGAUGCAUGGUGGCAUUUGGAUCAGGUAAGGUAGGUUGAGUUGUAGUAGGUUGAGUUGUAGGUUCAUGUAGGACAGCAGGUGGUACUUCAUUCAUGUUGGUAUUACUGGUUACUUGAUUAUUAGUGACUUCAUGUGGUGUGAAAUUUUCCAGUUGAUCAUCAUUAGCAAAAAUGUUCAUUUUACCAGACAUACAAGGCAUGCUAGUGGUAUGAGUAAGCAUUUGCAGAAUGGAAUUGAAACUAGAACCAUCAGGGGCAAUAACAAAAGGAAAAAUAUUUUCUUGAAAAAUAACAUCUCUUGAUAUAUGAACUUUCUUGGUAGCUAAAUUCAAAACUUUGUAACCUUUUGUAUUGAAAGGGUAACCAACAAAAACAUGAGGUGUGGUUCUAGGUUCAAAUUUAUCUUUGUGAGUUUUCAAGGUAGUGGGGAAACAAAGACAACCAAAACUCUUAAGGUGGGAAUAUGUAGGUGAUUUAUGGUACAACAUUUCAUAUGGAGAUUUAUUCUGUAAAAGUUGAGUGGGCAGUCUAUUAAUCAGGUAUGUGGCAGUCAAUACACAUUCCCCCCAGUACCUCAUAGGCAACUUUGACUGAAACAAAAGUGCCCUUGCUGUUUCAAGUAGGUACUUAUGUUUCCUUUCUACCACCCCAUUUUGUUGAGGUGUAUAAGGACAAGUUCUUUGGUGUAUGAUACCUUGUUUUGGAAGAAAUUUGUGGCUUCAGCUGAAGUAAACUCUAACCCAUUGUCAGAUCUUAUGGCUUUUUAACUUGGUUUGGAAUUGGUUUUCUAUGAGAGAUAUGAAGGCUUUGAUAGUUUGGAGAGCAUUACUCUUACAUCUCAGCAAUUGUGUCCAAGUGGACCUACUGUGGUCAUCUACCAUAGUGAGGAAAUAAUGAUAUCCAUCAUGAGUGGGAACAUGAUAUGGUCCCCAUAGGUCAACAUGUAACAACUCAAACACUUUAGUGGUGGUGGUGAUACUUUCUGGAAAAGGCAUCCUAGUUUGCCUAGCCAUAGGGCAUAUAUUGCAAGUAAAAGGCUGUUUAGGAGAAAAAUGAACAGGUAUAGUUGAGAUAUUUUUCAUUUUUACAAAAGGUACAUGUCCUAAUCUAGCAUGCCACAAAAGUUCAUCAUCAUGAGUGUGAUUAGAGACAUUUGUAAAUGAAGGACAAGCAUGAGUAAAACAAGAGGAAGGAAAAACAGUACAAUCUGCCUUAUUCAUAGGAGAGUAUUUUACAGAAGAACCAGUGGACACAUUAGAAUCUGAAACCCUGCUAGUAUUGCCUAAAGAAGAGACAAGAGGACAAUUAACAUGAGGUGCUUUACUCUCAGCAGAUGGACAACAAUUGUGGCAUUUGUGACACAAGAAGUACAGGCCAUUCUUGGCUUUACCAAGUUCCAGAGGGCUCUUCAGAGAAGGGCCCUGCAGCAAACAAGAAGAUUUGUCAAAGCUGACUACACCAUUGAAUUGUAGUGCUAAACAAUGAACAGAAAUGAGAUUAAACUUGAAGCUAGGUACAAACAACACUUUGCUUAGAGUCAAAGCUGGAUUUAAACAAGCAUCACCAAUUUCAGUCACUUUAACCUUGUAACCAUUAGGGAGUGAAAUUAGAAAGGGAUAUGGAAGUGAAAUGAUGUUUGUGAGGGUGGUCUUAUCAUAGGUCAUAUGGUGUGAUGCUCCUGAAUCUAUGAUCCAAGAGCCAGCAGUCAGUUUAACACAUUUACAAGAAAGAUCACCUAUAUCAGUAAUAGAGGAAUAACAUGCAAGUAUACCUGCCAAGUUCACAGCUCCAUUCAGCAUGUUGUUUGAGUUGUCUGAGGCUCCAUUUCCAACUUGUAAAGUUCCCAGGAGAUUGAGUAGUUGUUCAUAUUGAUCUUUGGACAAGUUCAAUGGCAUUUGUCUCCUUACUUCAGGUUCCUCUUCAGAUUGAACUCCAUUCAUAUCAGGGGCACACACAUUUGCUGCAGCUUUUCCCUUUUUGAACCUUGGAUUUGGAUUGGAUGGGUAUCCAUGAAGCUUGUAACAUCUAUCCUUUGUGUGUCCUGAUUUCUUACAGUAGUCACAAAACAAAGAAGACUUGCCAGUGCUAGAAUUGCCUCUAAACCCAGUAUUACCAGAAUUGGUUCCACCUCCUCCAGAUGAACUGUAGUUUGUCCGGAAUCCCCUGUAUCCUGCACUGCUGUUGGUCUGUCCAUAAGCAUUGAGAGAGGUAGAAUCCAAGGCUGUAUGAUUAUGAGGCUUCACCUCCCUUUGUUUUUCCUCUUGGGAUAAUAUGGCAAAAGCUUGAGCCAUGCUUGGAAGUGUGUUCAUCAUGAGAAUGCUGCCUCUGACAGUCGUAUAUAUCUCAUUCAAUCCCAUUAGAAAAUGUAUCAAUCUUCUGUCUUGUUCAGCCUUGUGUAAUUUGCUUUUACCCCCACAAAUGCACACACAAGUACACUGAGAAUUGACAUCAAUGGUACUCAUUUCCUCCCACAACUUCUUCAUUCUUGUGUAAUAUCCAGUGAUGUCUAAAGUGCCUUGGACCAGAUCAUUAAUUUCCUUCUGCAGUUGAUACAAUUUACACCCAUUGGUUUGAUCGUACCUUUCUUCUAGUUCUCCCCAAAGCUCCUGAGCAUUAUUGACAUACUGCAGACUAUCACGCAAAUCUGGUGACAAGGAAUUCAGGAUCCAAGAUGUGACCAUAUCAUCACACCUUUCCCAUUGCUGAAAGCUAGGAUCAGUAGGAUCAGGUCUCACAACCUUCCCAUUAAUGAAUCCUGUCUUGCUCUUAACAGAUAAAGCCCUGAGAACUGCUCUUCUCCAGGAUCUGUAACCAGUUCCAUCAAAAACUGCAGGUAAUAGGGAUGAACUUGCAUUCUCAGAUGGAUGCAAGUAGAAAGGACUAGGGAUUUCUACCCUAACAGUGGAUGCAGAAGCAUUUGGAAUGGAAUCAUUUGAAGAAUCGACCAUUGUGAAUUGAAAAUUGGGAAGAAGAUCAAGUCGAGAACAACCAGAUCAAACAGCGUUCACAAACAAAAUUGACAGAUCGAAGAUCCAGUCGAGAUCAACCAGAUCAAAGAAAAAAUUCACAUAAGAGAAAACGAAGCUCACAGAUUGAAUUGGAAACAAAAAAAAACAGGAGCAAUUCCCUGUGCUUUGAUACCAUGAUGAAAUCAGCUACUGAUCAGUCAAGCUCCUCCAUUGAUGUAGCUUCAACUCACAUGAGAAAAGAUGAGAGAAGAAGAGAGAAGAGAAGAGAAGAAGAAUCUAGAAGAGCAACAUGAAAAUUAUCUCUCAUUGAAUGUGAAUUAAAGAAGUGAGUAUUACAAUGUAUCUGUAUAUAUACACAAUCACUAAGCAACUAAUAAUCAUUGGCAGAAAUUAACUAACUAACAAACUUGAUUCUAACUAACUCUACUGUACAUAACCGACUCUACUGUACAUAACUAACUAAUUAUACUUUAUAUUCUCAUCAAUAUCCCUUUUUUCAAAUUUCAUAGCUGAACUACUAGGUGUGCGAGUUCCUACCAGAACUAUUACCAACUAUUUAUCAAAACACACAUCAACUAUAUAUGAGUUGUUCCCUUUUACUAGUGGUGAAAAAUAGGUGGAUUUGGACGGGACUGAAAAUGGAUUGAGCAACAUGGUCGUAACUCACUUUAAUCUCUUAAAGCCAGAAAACUUUAAAGAGUUAAUUGAAAUAAACUUAAUGACUAUCCUACUUGAAGUAUCACCAUCGUUCAGGUAAGAAAAAGGAAGUAAAUCAAGGAAGACGAUGUCUUACAAAGCCUGAUGGAUAUGGACCUCGAUAGAACCUCCAUAGUUGUCUUGAAUGUCCUGUUGAAUCUGCUUUGCGGAAUUCCCAACAGAUUCUGGGCAGUUUCUUAUAUCAAUUAGAGCAAGUGUGGUUAUAUCUGCAAAAUCUUGAGGGAUUGAGUCCAAAAACCUGCAACUAUCAAGAAAUAGUCGUUCAAGGCACGGAAAGUGAUCACAACUAGCUCUCCAGUACUGAAUAUGUGAUCUUUUAAGUAACAAGAACUUCAAAAAAGGAAACCCUUCCUCAGCUACUUCCCACUCCCUGCCUCUGCAUACACCCUGUGUUAGUUCAAGAAGUUCAAGUUUGGGCAAUUUUCCGACAACAAUGCUUAAAUCCUUCCAUGACAAGAAGAAAUUUCCUGUAAAAGUUAAAUUCUUAAGGUUUCGUGGAAAAGCAUCUGGAGGAGGUAAGAUCAAAGAUGGAACAACUUCUACAACAAGUGGAUUCCUUGUCUGAAAACACAUUCUCCUCUCCAAAAAGUAAGCAUUAUUUUGAGGAGGAAGACAAAAUGCUAGUUCCUCGAGAUGAUCUAAGUAGCGAAAAUCAUAGAGGUCUUUGUGACUAUGGAAGUCUUGUGGGAUGCCACGUACUUGCAACUCCUUUAAAUUGGGAAAUAGUCUAAAGAAAGAUGCAGUACAAUAGCUAGGAUUCCAUCCAAACAGAGAAUGUAAAUUUUUCAUAACCAAACUUUUCUCUGUAAGCUCAUGAUAUCGCAAGUAAUUCCGAUCCAAAUGAAGGUGCCUCAACUGUGGCAUAGUCAAAAUUUCUGAUGGUAAUAUCAAAGCAUGUUUACGAAGAUUAAUAACGAGUGGAAGGUAAAGUACCAAACUUUGCAGAUAGCAUAGGUUUGAUAUGGAUGUAGGAAUGUCUACUCUUGAUGAGAGAACAUCUUCUUCGGAUCCUAGAUAUUGCUCAACGUUAGGAUAAAUACGCAAAGCUAGGUGUCUUAAGUGAAUCAAAUAAAGUAUUUCACGGGGAAAAGUUAGACAGAUAUUAUCAGCAAGAUCUAGAACUCUUACUAGCUUGAACGGCAAGUACUCCCUCAUGCAACAUCGGAAUCUACCAAAUAAGAUAACAGAAUGAGCUUCACUGUUAAGGCACCUAACAUACUCUUUCUUAUUAUGGAUGCUGAUUCGACCUCGACUCUUAGACAAACACUGCAUAGAUUUCACACAUGGAUUUUGAUCAUUCUUACUUCCGAGAACAUUCACAAAAUUCAUGUUACGAGCUUCCAUCAUACAGAGUUCACGAGUCGUAUCAUGAAUUCCACAACACUUAAUUUUUCCAUCAAAAGUAGUACUUUCUAUGGAAAUUAAACUUCUAUCAAUAAGAUCUUGUAGGUACUUUUCUGCCACUUCUUCUAUGCUUUUCAUCUCUUCUACCUUCAAAAAUCCCUCUGUUUCCCACAAUAUCAUAAGUUUAUUGACAAAAAUCAGUUUAUCCUCUGGGAAGAUUGCGAAAUAUAAAAAGCAUGGUUUUAGGUGGUGAGGCAAGUAAUGGUAACUCAUUGCCAACACCCUCAUGCAUUGGACACCAACAUCUGUGCUUACUGCUGAACUUACAUUUUCAGCAACACUUUGCCACUCACUCAAUGCUUUGUCAAUUUUAGUGAGAAGUCCCGCGAUCACAACAAUUGCUAGAGGCAAUCCUCCGCAUUUCAAUGCAAUUUGCUUUCCAAGUUGUUCAUAUUCAGGGGAGAAAGAGUCUUUCGUAAAGACUUUUUCAUACAAUAAACUCCAACUUUCGUCAAAAUUCAUGAGGCGCAUGUGAUAAGGAGGCUUACCUGAGCUAGCAUAUUCAGCCACUUCCACAUUCCGAGUAGUCAAGAGUAUUCGGCUUCCAUUAUGAAAGUCUGGGAAACAUAUUUGUAUAUCAUCCCAAGCUUUUGUAGUCCAUAUGUCAUCAAUGACUACCAAAUAUCUCUCACCUUUUAGAAGCUUUUGUAGUCGAUCUGCUAGUUGCCCGUCAUGUAGCUGAUCAUAAGGUUUAUCACUUAUACAAGAAAGAAGGUCUAGGAAAACAUUUCUCACACAAUACUCUUGUGAAACAGUAGCUUUAGCACGAAUGUCAAAACGAUACAUCAUGCAUGGAUCGUUGUAGAGUUUCGUAGCCAAAGUUGUCUUGCCAAUGCCUCCCAUACCUACAAUUGAUACAACUGCUAGUUCUCUUUCUCCUCUAGCAAGUUGAUCCAGCAUCAUCUUGAAUUCAUUUUCAUAGCCAACCAUUAUAUCCUCGGACCGCUCAACAGCACGUUCAGGUAUCUUGGAUAGACAAAAAUUUUGUGCUUUGAAAUCUUUAAAGUUGUUGUACCAGUCCCAUAUUGCCAACCACUGCAUCAUGAAGGAAUCAAUGCAUUCUACCUCUUGUUCCAAGGAACAACAGAGUUCCCAGAAAGCUUUGCUUCGUGUAAUUACAGUUUCUGCGGAAGAAACUUUUCUUGAUUUCGAAUCAACCAUGUCUUCUGCUUUGUAUGCUACCUCCGCGAUUUCAACUUCCAAGGUUGUUAACCCCUCAUGAUCUCCCGUUAUAUUGCAGGAUUUCUCCAUAAUAGCUCUCAAAGAUUCAAGCUUUUCAUAGAAUGGUUGCAAAUCACAUCCAGUAAGUUCCAUUGACUGGUGUAUGGUUCUCAUAAGGGAAGUAACAGCAGCAUAAGCCAUAUAUCCAAAAAAUAGGAAUCUCUCACACUCAGUAUGAAAAUGGACAAAUUAAUUGCCACAAGUUAUGUAAUCUUUCUUUUACUAACUAUUUCCAUCACAUUUCUAGCUAGGUCCACUAACAGGUAAAGUAGAAAGAUGUGAGGUCCCUAACCUUAUCAUCAUGUAGACAAAAGAAGAGACCAAAGUUUUUAAAAAAAAGACAGGAAAAAGUAGAAAAAUUUGUGAUCAUUCAUUAUUAGACCCUACACUAAUCUCUUUAGAAAAAUAAACUAAAAUUUUAGUUUAAAUAAAGGAGUUCAAGCUGUAUAUUGAUAACGCCCAAUUCAAAUUCAAGUGUAGUACGGUCUAGCAAUAAUAAACUCAACAAAUGUUGGGGUCGAGGAGUAUGCUUGUGUCAAGGUGACAGAGAAUGCGAAUUUGCGAAUUUCCUAAGCUUAUCUACAAAUAAAAGGUCUUUCUUUUAGCUAGGUCCAUAAUCCAUGUAGUGCUCUCUACUCUCUAGUCUCUAUCAACCAACUCAAGUUUAAGGGUGUGUUUGGUAUGGAGGAAACAUUUUCUCUAGAAUAGGGAGAGUUUUGUGCAUAAACAAAGAAGAAUAUCUCAGUAUAACAGUGAAUGUGUAUUUUUUUUAUGAUUUGCUUCAUUUGAGUAUGACUUUUGUAAGAAAAUUCUGGUAAAAGUUUAAAAAAUGAUCUUGUGGAAUAAGCACAGUGAAUUCCUUAAUAUUCGAGUAGAAAAAGCCAGGGAGGAUAACAUUGCUAUUUGUACACUUAUCGUGACACGAGUAGUCUCUUAAAUAUUACACCUUUCUACUGGUGUUGCUGGUGCCACUGAAUUUAGCCUUCCGUCUUCCUUUGCGAGGUAGAUUGAGGACUCCCAAGAAAGGAAACACAAGGUACUGGAGUCUGUUCCGGCCUCUACAGUAUGUAUGUACAUAAAAUUUGGAGUAACUAAAAAACCACUGACAAAUGGCUAUACGAAAGAUCAUAUACAAUUUAAUUACAAGCCAUUUGCAAUCAUCCUGCCCCUUUAUGCAGAAUCUUUUCAAAGAAAAUGAAAACAAACACUCACACAUUUGGCUUCUGAUUGACAUUUAUUUCAGAGAACUGGCUAGUCCUCAGAACACCUUAACUACUCGCUGCAGAAAAAAAAAGACGCAAAAAAUGGAAAAUAAUAUGUUAGAUGUCCCAUAAUUAAGGAACAGGAGAACAUUAUAGCAAGAAUGAGCAUGCAGGUAUAAGAACUUACACAUUAUUGCGGCAAGAAGCAACUUCUUUCUCAAAGUCAAUAUCAUCAUCUUCAUCUAUUGUUACACUACAUCGAAAAUGCUUGCUACAAAAGAUGAAAAAUGAAAUGUUACACUUCCCAAAAUCAAGAAUGAGCAUGCAAGUAUAACAACUUACACAAUAUUGGAAGGAUUCGAAUCAAUCACAAUGACAGCAUCAAGAACUUUUGUUGAAUUGGUGUAAUUUGACUUACUAAAGCUAUUAUCCAGAUUAUUAUCGAGUUUACUAUAAUGAUGAGUUAAAUAUUGUUGUAAAUCAAGGAAGAAGAUGUACUUACUAAAGAUUACGAGUAUGGACCUCGAUAGAGCUUCCAUAGUUGUCUUGAAUGUCCUGUUGAAUUUGCUUGGCGGAAUUCCCAACAGAUUGUUGACAGUAACUUAUAUCAAUAAGAGCUAGUGUGGUUAUAUCUGCAAAAUCUCGAGGGAUUGAAUCCAAAUAAUAGCAACUUCUAAGAAAAAGUCGUUCAAGGUACGGAAAGUGAUCACUACUAGCUCUCCAGUACCGAAUGCAUACUUCAUGCAGAAACAAGAACUUCAAGUGAGGAAACCCUUCCUCAACUACUUCCCACUCCUCGCCUAUGAAGGAUUUCCAUGAUAGUUUAAGGACCUCGAGUUUGGGUAAUUUACCAACAAUGCUCAAAUCCUUCCAUGCCAAAAAGAAUUCUCCGCUAAAAGUUAAACUCUUAAGGUUUUGUGGAAAAGCAUCCGGAGGAGGUAAGCGUAAAGUUGAAACAUCAGUUGGAGGUGCAGUUGCCCUGAAAGGUAAGAGUAAACUUGUAUAAAGUUGAACAACUAGCCACAUGAGUCCUACAUGACACAAUACACAUAAGACACCAACUAUUUCCAUCACAUUUCCAGCUAGGUCCACUAACAGGAUAAAGUAGAAAGAUGUGAGGUCACUAACCUUAUCAUCAUGUAGACAAAAGAAGAGACCAAAGUUAAAAAAAAAAAAGACAGGAAAAAGUAGAAAAAUUUGUGAUCAUACAUUAUUAGACCCUACACUAAUCUCUUUAGAAAAAUAAGUUUCAAUAAAGGAGUUCAAGCUGUAUAUUGAUAACGUCCAAUUCAAAUUCAAGUGUAGUACGGUCUAGCAAUAAUAAACUCAACAAAAGUUGGGGUCGAGGAGUACACUUGUGUCAAGGUGACAGAGAGUGUUCUGGCCUAUACAGUAUGUAUGUAUGUACAUAAAAUUUGGAGUAUCUAAAGAACCACUGACAAAUGGCUAUACGAAAGAUCAUAUACAAUUAAAUUACAAGCCAUUUGCAAUCAUCCUGCCACCUUAUGCAGAAAAAAUGAAAAUUCUGAUUUGACAUUUAUUUCAGAGAACUGGCUAGUCCUCAGAACACCUUAACUACUCGCUGCAGAGAAAAAAAAAAGACACAAAAAAUGGAAAAUAAUAUGUUAGAUGUCCCAUAAUUAAGGAACAAGAGAACAUUAUAGCAAGAAUGAGCAUGCAGGUAUAAGAACUUACACAUUAUUGCGGCAAGAAGCAACUUCUUUCUCAAAGUCAUCUUCAUCUGUUGUUAUAUCGAAAAUGCUUUCUACAAAAGAUGAAAAAUGAAAUGUUACACUUCCCAAAAUCAAGAAUGAACAUGCAAGUAUAACAAGUUACACAAUAUUGGAAGGAUUCAAAUCAAACACAAUGACAGCAUCAAGAACUUUUGUUGAAUUGGUGCAAUUGGACUUACUAAAGCUAUUAUCCAGAUUAUUAUCGAGUUUACUAUGAUGAUGAGUUAAAUAUUGUUGUAAAUCAAGGAAGAAGAUGUCUUACAAAAGAUGACGAGUAUGGACCUCGAUAGAGCUUCCAUAGUUGUCUUGAAUGUCCUGUUGAAUUUGCUUGGCGGAUUUCCCAACAGAUUGUCGACAGCUACUUAUAUCAAUAAGAGCUAGUGUGGUUAUAUCUGCAAAAUCUGGAGGGAUUGAAUCCAAAUCAUAGCAAUUUCUAAGAAAAAGUCGUUCAAGGUACGGAAAGUGAUCACUACUAGCUCUCCAGUACCGAAUGUAUAUGUUAUCCAGAAACAAGAACUUCAAGUGAGGAAACCCUUCCUCAACUACUUCCCACUCCUCGCCUAUGACGGCAUUGUCUGAUAGUUUAAGGACCUCGAGUUCGGGUAAUUUACCAACAAUGCUCAAAUCCUUCGAUGCCAAAAAGAAUUCUCCGCUAAAAGUUAAACUCUUAAGGUUUUGUGGAAAAGCAUCCGGAGGAGGUAAGAGUAAAGUUGGAACAUCAGCUGGAGGUGCAGCUUUCCCGAAUUGUGUCUUUUUGUACAAUAAUUUCGUCUGAAACCUCAGAGGAUCUUGCGGAGUAGAACCUGAAGGUGCAGUGCUUUCUAGAACGCAAGCAGCACCUGGAUAAUAAACACGAAAUGCCAAUUUCUCGAGCUGAUAUAAGUAGCGAAAAUCAUACAGGUCCUUGUGAUUGCGAAAGUCCUCUUGGACGCCAAAUACUUUCAACUUCUUUAAAUUGGGAAAUAGUCUAAAAAAAGACCCUGUACAAUUCCGAGGAUUCAAUUGAUUGAGACAUUGCAAACUUUUCAAAACCAAUCUGUUCUCUGUAGGCUCAUGACUCCGCAAGUAAUUCCAGCCCAUACGCAGCUUCCUCAAUUGUGGCAUCGUCAAAAUUUCCGAUGGUAAUAUGAAAGGAUAACUAUCGGUAAAUGGAAGGUAAAGUUUAAAAGUUUGCAGAUAGCAUAGGCAUGAUAUCGAUAGAGGAAUGUCUAUUAUUGAUGAGGGAACAGCUUCUAUCGAUCCUCGAUACUGCAGUAAGCAAGGAUUAAAACACAAAGAUAGGUAUCUCAAAUGAAUUAGAGAAAGUACUCCACUGGGAAAAAUUGGGCAUGGAGUCCAACCAAGAUCUAGUACUCUUACUAGCUUGAAAGACAAUUCCAGUGUGAUGCAAUUGAAUCCACGCAAC
This 37800-nucleotide long non-coding RNA is filed under the name Solanum tuberosum (potato). RNAcentral describes it as "long non-coding RNA (STUB_LNC011110)". The record is from RNAcentral. Lineage: Eukaryota; Viridiplantae; Streptophyta; Magnoliopsida; Solanales; Solanaceae.